UUUUGACCGUGUCUCCACCAGCACAAUAACAUGAAAACUGUAACAGGACGAUAAUAACGAAAGUGACAAUUCGCAAAGUUUGGUACGGAGACCUCUUGCGUUUUGGAAAUAUGUAAACAGACGACGUCGUUUUUGUUGUCUCAGCAGCGGUUCUCCGAAAGAUUAUCGGCACUCUAUUUCUAUAACGAAUGUUUUCAGAAUGAAUUCUAGCUAGUUUAUCAUCAACAGUAUCGAUUUGGAAUGUUAGAGAAAUGUUAAUUAAUGGCUCAAUAAUUUGCAAGCAAAUCUCGUCGACUACAUUCCGUUAUUGUACGGCAAUAAUGAUCAAAAAGCGAACACAUGAAUUAAAAAGCGAUGGUAGAAGGAGGAAUGUCUUAUUGCAACUAUCAUGAGGUGUACAUGGCUGAUUACUUCCACGUUAAUUGCGUGAACUGUGAAAACCAUUCAGAAGCAGGCGAAUCGGUGAAAGAAGACAGGCGGUCAUUCUCGGAACUCUGCUUUCCUCCGUAGUGUUCGUUGGAAGGUUUCAGACCCGUAACUACUAAUUAUAAGUGGGCAUCACUGGAUAUCCUUUUAUCUGGAAAGAACUUUCCACGCUAGGAUGACACAUUAGAAAUUUAUAAAAGUUUAAGCGCCUUCGAUCCAUGAUAUCUAACAGUUAUCUUAUCGACAUCGGGAAGAGUAUCGCCAGCAAGAAGCAAGAAGGCUUCAAUGACAUGAUUUCUGCGAGUGGAGAUAUCUUAAGCAACCUUUUUACUAUUAAAUUCCAACAAUUUUAAGGUAAAAUACGUCACCAGAUUAUUUACUCGGAAGAAAAUUAUCGUGAAAUAAUGAUUUUUUAAGAAAUUUUUUUAAAAAGUCGUACUGUUUUCAA
Long non-coding RNA from Nomia melanderi (Alkali bee), 874 nucleotides. RefSeq lists it as uncharacterized. The record is from RefSeq and is a predicted model, not a curated record. Lineage: Eukaryota; Metazoa; Arthropoda; Insecta; Hymenoptera; Halictidae.